This 86-nucleotide transfer RNA is filed under the name Lentisphaerota bacterium. RNAcentral's name for it is "Lentisphaerae bacterium (anaerobic digester metagenome) tRNA-Leu". It matches the Rfam family "tRNA". Rfam says of the family: Transfer RNA (tRNA) molecules are approximately 80 nucleotides in length. Their secondary structure includes four short double-helical elements and three loops (D, anti-codon, and T loops). Further hydrogen bonds mediate the characteristic L-shaped molecular structure. tRNAs have two regions of fundamental functional importance: the anti-codon, which is responsible for specific mRNA codon recognition, and the 3' end, to which the tRNAs corresponding amino acid is attached (by aminoacyl-tRNA synthetases). tRNAs cope with the degeneracy of the genetic code in two manners: having more than one tRNA (with a specific anti-codon) for a particular amino acid; and 'wobble' base-pairing, i.e. permitting non-standard base-pairing at the 3rd anti-codon position. The record is from RNAcentral. Lineage: Bacteria; Pseudomonadati; Lentisphaerota.
GCCCGGGUGGCGAAAUGGCAGACGCAUGGGACUUAAAAUCCCUUGGUUGUAACACCGUGCGGGUUCGACUCCCGCCCUGGGCACCA